Non-coding RNA from Podarcis lilfordi (Lilford's wall lizard), 1030 nucleotides. Lineage: Eukaryota; Metazoa; Chordata; Lepidosauria; Squamata; Lacertidae. The record is from the annotation of a GenBank genome assembly.
CACAAAAUGGCCUUAUCCCUGGCUGCAGCACUGAGGGUGUCUUCAGGUAUGUCUCAUAACAGCAAGGAAUUGCUGAGAUGAUUAUUUAUGACAGCUGGCUCAGUUGUAACUUGCCCGUUGCCUUUCAUUACAGGGGAGGCAGGAGUGUUUGCUCUUUCCACUCCAAUCCUAUCUGCCAAGAACAUGCCAGUUCCUUUCGUCCUCCUCCCACCGCUCCCUUUCUAUGUGUGAUCAUCCUGCUCAGCCUUGGUUAAACAAUGUAUGGAAGGCAAAAGAAGAAACAGCUUUGAUGUCCAGUAUGCAUGCUAUCCGAUAACUGAAUUGGAGCCUUCAAUUCUUAAAUGUGUGGCAUUUUGAUGGGGCCUAUGGAAUAGCAAACCAGAGGGAGUAGAGGACAAAAGAUACGUGAGACACAAAUGCAGUCUACAAAGGUAAAGGUAAAGGACCCCUGGAUGGUUAAGUCCAGUCAAAGGCAACUAUGGGGUUGCAGCACUCAUUUCGCUUUCAGGCUGAGGGAGGCGGUGUUUGUCCACAGACAGCUUUCCGGGUCAUGUGGCCAGCAGGACUAAACCACUUCUGACAUAAUUCUGACAGUGCACAGAAAGACCAUUUGCCUUCCCGCCACAGCAGUACCUAUUUAUCUACUUGCACUGACAUGCUUUCGAACUGCUAUGUUGGCAGGAGCUGGGACAGAGCAACGGGAGCUCACCCCGUCGCAGGGAUUUGAACCGCCGACCUUCUGAUCAGCAAGCCCAAGAGGCUCAGUGGUUUACACCACAGAAUUUAGCUGGAUACAACUCAUGUUUUUUAACUGUUUCCCCACCAGCUGUUUUCCCACUCAAAAACUCCUCCCGCCACCUGCGUAUUCCAUGGUGGAUUUUUGGGUAUGCUGUAAUACUUCCAUUAGAGAAACAAACUUCAUUAUUGCUUGCAAGUAAGGAUGGGGGAAAAAUUCAAUCCAGUUCACAUUUAAAGGUCAAUCUGCCUAAUUUGCACUUUCUGACAUGGUACGGGGACUGAAACACAGCCG